RNA transcript from Cucumis melo (muskmelon), 2132 nucleotides. It is a transcript of the gene named chaperone protein dnaJ 15-like, with no coding region annotated. Lineage: Eukaryota; Viridiplantae; Streptophyta; Magnoliopsida; Cucurbitales; Cucurbitaceae. The transcript is spliced from 13 exons. The record is from RefSeq and is a predicted model, not a curated record.
GGAGUGGGAGGGACAAAGAAAAAUGAAGGAAAAAGUGGGGAAAAUUAGAAAUAGACAAUUUCCCACGAAUAAUUUCUUGCAAAAAAUUCUCCAGAUUCUCUUCAAAUCUUCAGAAACCCUAGAUGUUGUUUGCUUUCCCAUUGUUCUGAAUCAUCUUGCAUAAGAAGUCUCCCUUGUCUUGGAUUGGAUCCUAGCCGACGGAUAAUUACUUUCUUUGAUAAUUUCCCGAAAAUCGAGCUCAAUCCAAAUUUGGCUACAGCGAUUUUAGAAGAUACAGAGCUUUUCCCCGUCCUAAAGCACCGACAGUGGGACAGUUUGAGCGGGAAAAGAGAGAAUGAAGACGGGUUCGAAGUCGGAAGGACCUUCGACUCCAGCGCUUCGACGGGACCCGUAUGAGGUUUUAAGCGUAACCAGGGAUUCCACUGAUCAGGAAAUCAAGUCUGCUUAUAGGAAGCUUGCUCUUAAAUAUCACCCAGACAAGAAUGGCAGUAAUCCGGAAGCUUCAGAACUUUUUAAGGAGGUCGCAUAUUCUUAUAGCAUCCUAUCUGAUCCAGAGAAGAGAAGGCAAUAUGACAGUGCUGGCUUUGAGGCCCUUGAUGCUAGUGGCAUGGAUAUGGAAAUAGACUUAUCCAAUCUUGGAACUGUCAACACCAUGUUUGCAGCUUUGUUCAGCAAGCUGGGUGUUCCUAUUAAGACUACAAUUUCUGCUAAUGUUCUUGAAGAAGCUUUGAAUGGAACUGUUACAGUCAGGCCUCUUCCUAUCGGAACAUCAGUUAGUGGCAAGGUGGAUAAGCAAUGUGCUCACUUUUUUGGGGUGACAAUUAAUGAGGAGCAAGCUCAGGCAGGAAUUGUUAUAAGGGUUACUUCAACUGCACAAAGUAAAUUCAAGUUGCUCUUUUUUGAACAAGAUAUCAAUGGUGGUUAUAGUUUGGCCUUACAGGAAGAUAGCGAGAAGUCUGGGAAAGUAACGUCUGCUGGGUUGUACUUUUUGCAUUUUCAAGUGUACAGGAUGGAUUCCACUGUCAAUGCGUUGGCAAUGGCUAAGGAUCCUGAGGCUGCUUUCUUCAAGAGGUUGGAAGGUCUUCAGCCUUGUGAGGUCUCAGAGUUAAAGGCUGGCACCCAUAUUUUUGCUGUUUAUGGAGAUAACUUUUUUAAGACUGCUGCAUAUACUAUUGAGGCACUAUGUACAAAAAAUUAUGAAGAGACAACAGAAAAGCUGAAAGAUAUUGAGGCUCAAAUUUUGAGAAAAAGAAAUGAGCUACGGCAAUUUGAGACAGAGUACCGGAAGGCUUUAGCACGCUUCCAGGAAGUCACCAACAGAUACAAUGAGGAAAAGCAGGCUGUGGACGAGCUUCUUAAACAACGGGAUGGCAUACAUGCUUCAUUCACCAUCAUGAAAUCAUCAAAUCACAUUGGGGCUGGUGCUACGAGUAAUGGAAGUAGUAGUAAAUCUACCGUCGAUGACUCAAAGGUUGAGAAUCAAGGAGGAGAAGAUGGAACCUCAGAUGAAAAAGAUAAAUCUUUUAAAAAGAGAUGGUUCAAUAUUCCCCGAGGAUCCGACAAAAAGCUUGGUUGAAAGAAUCAUCCGCUGAGGUUUAUUUUCUCUCUUCCCAAACGCAACAAAUAGAAACUUGCAACCACUUUGUCUUGUAGAAUUUAAUGGUCAAAUUGGUGCAUCCAUGCUUGUAAUACUUGGGUCUCUGUUUUGGUGUAUGCUUUCCAGGGUUUCAACAAAAUUUGCCAUUCUUUCUCCCAUCAGAGUUGAGGGAAGUAAAUUGGAAAUCAACUCGAGGUUAUUGAAUAAACUAGGUGGUUUGGAAGUUUCAAGGCUUAAAAUGGAACAAUCUCGGUAAGUUUAAAUACAAAAAUAUGAUCAUAUAUGUAAUACUAGACAUGUUAGAGAUUGGUUUUAAAAUGUGAUAUCGAUGUUAUGUUCUCUUCCCAUACCUAUCGAGAUGAUGGUAAGGGUAAAAAAACAGAGUUGGUUGGGUUUAGUUUUGGCACAAAGAAAAGAAAGAAAAAAAAAAAAAAAAAAGAAGUAUAACAGAAAAGAAAAGAAAACUAAGGAUUGAUCCGACUCAAUACUUAGAGCUAAUAAAAAUGUUCGUUUUCCUUGUAUUCUAUAAAGAAAA